AUCGCUUCUCGGCCUUUUGGCUAAGAUCAAGUGUAGUAUCUGUUUAUCAGUUUAAUAUCUGAUACGUCCUCUUUCCGAGGACAAUUUUUUGUUUGGGCUUCCC
This is a small nuclear RNA of 103 nucleotides. Its record names the gene U2. It matches the Rfam family "U2 spliceosomal RNA". Rfam says of the family: U2 is a small nuclear RNA (snRNA) component of the spliceosome (involved in pre-mRNA splicing). Complementary binding between U2 snRNA (in an area lying towards the 5' end but 3' to hairpin I) and the branchpoint sequence (BPS) of the intron results the bulging out of an unpaired adenosine, on the BPS, which initiates a nucleophilic attack at the intronic 5' splice site, thus starting the first of two transesterification reactions that mediate splicing. The record is from Ensembl.